This 860-nucleotide unclassified non-coding RNA is filed under the name Leptinotarsa decemlineata (Colorado potato beetle). RNAcentral's name for it is "uncharacterized LOC111506636, transcript variant X2". The record is from RNAcentral. Lineage: Eukaryota; Metazoa; Arthropoda; Insecta; Coleoptera; Chrysomelidae.
ACGAAUGAACGAAAUCUGGACUUUAGGAACACCAAGACAAAUACAUCUUAGUAUACGAAGAACUGUGGAAAAAUUUUCAAGGAACUAGGUCAACUGAGAAGAGUGAGAACCUGUCAAAUGGUGAAGAACUGUAUGCAGCGGAAAAAGAAUAGAUUGUGCGCCUUUGUGAGGAGUAAUCCACCCCAAGGCUGAAAUAUGAUGGUACACUUUCGAAAAUUAGUCUGUGAAUACCUUUGUCGGGUGAGUAAACAGCACAAAUAUAUGGCUUGGAAAGUAGGUAACCGGUAGUCACCUAGGCUAGAUAAUAGAACUCUGGAAUAGUACCUGUGAGUCAUAUUAUGGAAUAUGCUUUACGGCAGACCCAAUGAUACACUGACGAAAUUUCAGUUGAUUGAUCGAUAUUGAGGAUUCCUACGUUAAUGGACACAGUAACCUUAGUAUAGUAUGGCAUCUGCAAGUCGACUAUACCUGUGGACACAUUAGAUUCAGCAAUGCAGAACUUUUCCACGUAUAACUGACCGGCUCAGGGGCAGCUUCUUUCCACUCCCGAUGCAAAUUCAGCUCAGGCUGUUCAGAAAGUUGGUGCAAGAUGUAUUCAUGAGAUAUACUGCUAUUGAGAAGGCGAUAAGUCGUUUACCGACUGUUAACAGGAUCAAAAGAACUGAAGAACUUUUGCUCUUGAGACAAUGUUGCAAUGAGGACAGUUGGGUUCAUUUUGUUGAAGUUUACCUCUUGUGUAGACUCAGGGUCAUUUUUUUUGCCUACCAUGGUACAUAAAAGGUCCAAGCAGUAGCUAGGAGAAAUGUCAUUAUGGAAAAAACCCGUAUCAUUGUGGAAAAGCUUUCUAUGGCGACAAGGCA